CUGGGCUCGGGGGCGCCGGUGCACUCCCCGCGGUUGAGAAUCGCGACGAUCUUUUGGGAGUCACGGCUGAUGAUCGGGCCACCGGAGCCCAGGCC
RNAcentral lists this transfer RNA (95 nucleotides) under Pilimelia anulata. RNAcentral's name for it is "tRNA-Leu". Lineage: Bacteria; Bacillati; Actinomycetota; Actinomycetes; Micromonosporales; Micromonosporaceae. The record is from RNAcentral.